CAUUUUUAUCCUAAAAUUUACAGGCAGCGUAACAGACAGGUAUUUAAAUUCUAAAAUAAAAUGGCUACAGUGAGUUAUACAACGACAUCAGGCGAAGGUUUUGCUCAAGCAACCAACUUCAACCCCAACUACAAUUAUUAUGAUAACUUCGCAGCAACCCAGGCUUAUAACACCGUGGCACCACCUCCGGCUUAUCAACAGCAGCAUAUUACAACAGUACCACAGCCACAGAAUCGCAAUAAUACGACACCUCUAUGUGUCGUGGCGUCCAUCUUAAUCACGUUGGUGACUCUGGGUGUUAUCGGUGGUAUAGCGUACGGGAUUUACGUGGCAGUUGCAGGAACUAAAUCGGUCAUUGACAGUACAUCGUUGGUCAUUACUGGUUUUACAGGUUAACUUGUGAGGGGAUAGGCCGCAGAUUAAAAACGUAGAUAUUUAAAAGUUGUACAAAUCAUGAUUUUUUCCAUGUACAAAGUGCACUAAUUUUCUAUAGUAACAGUUUACGCCAGUAUUUUUUUCCCCAUACACACAGUGUUGGUAUAGUAGAGUGGGAAAAGAUGGGACACCUUUAUUAUUACAUAAUAUCCAAAUGUUUUGAUCGUGUUUUAAAUAUUUUACAACUGUUAAAGAGAGUUCUCAGUAUACUGUUUUACAUUCUUUGAAUGUGCCUUGUUUACCACCAAAUGGAAGAAAAGAAAUAGAAUGAAAAAUUGUCCCAUCUUCCCCCGCCGUACUAUAUAAGAUUGAAAGGUAGUUUUUCCACGUAUUUGUGUAUAUUUUUUUAAUAAAAUUUAUAACAUUUUCUUGUUUAGUGUGACUCCAAGUUGAUUUGUGUAGUUUUCAUUGAAAAAGAUUGAAAGACUUUACAAGAGCAAAAAGACGGGUAGUAACGAAAGUAUGACAGUCGUUAUAUCACGCUUAUAGGUAAAACAGAAACACUAGAACGACUCAUAAAAUGAGUUAAGCUACACCCCACGAACAAUCUAACAAAACACAGAAUAGGAAGUUCGGAUAAGAAAAGUGUCCGUAAAAACAGAGACAACAUUGUUGUAUCGUUUUCCUCUUCACCAAACGCAGUUCUACAACACGUACAUGAAAACUACUGUUUUAGUGAUUACAAUGGUUUGUCAAAAAUUCGUUGCGCAUGGGUACCCUGAAAGUUUUAUAGGGUAUGCACGCAUUCCCCGCAUACCCAUGUUCGAUGCCCAUAGUGGUAGCAUACUUUUUGAUAUUUCUUCAUUUAUCACCUUGAGAAGCUGGCAAAUACCAUGUCACUUUGCUGUUGAUUACCUUCUUUGCAAUAACAACCAAGAAAAGAGAAUCAACAGCAAAAUGACAGUAGAUAAAAGGUAUUGAUAGAAAGUAUGAGAAAAAGGGUGGCUGUUAAACCCAACAUAUGAAAACAAGUUGCAAUGCAAUUAGAAGAAAAGUGUGAGUAAAGACACAACCUGUACAGAACUGAUUUAACCAAAAUAUCAGGUAAUAAUGAAAAAAAAGAUAACUCAAAAAUAAAUUUCUACUAUUAGUUCAACGUUUAACAUAAAAUUAUAAUUUUCUUGUUGCGGUUGUCAUAUGUAGGGAUGUCCAUAGUUCCUCUGUUGCCCAACUCGAAGUACUGUUGCAAAGUGACAAUUUUCCAUAGGUAUUCUGUGUGGCAUGAAAAGGCACUGUUUUGGAAUAAACAUUAAAACAAAUAAGCGUAGGUAUAGGAACACAAUAAAACUCUUUAAUUAAAAAUAAUACUCAAUAUUAUUAUUGUAGGGAAGUAGUUUUUAUUUAACUUAGGAUCACAAAUCAAACUCUUACCUGACCAGUAAACUUAAAAUGAGUAAUAUUGUUAGUGGUGCUGUUUGCUGUAUAUACAUACAAAUGCUAUAACUGCAUAAACUGGACUAAAUAAACUAAUUUUUAACUAUUACUUAAUAUUUCUCAUGUAUAAACGCUGACUUUCUUCAGAUCUGCCUAAAUAUAAACAUAGCCAUAAAGCAGAAGUCUUUUUUUCUAGUUGUUCUAGUUUCUCUCACAGAAAUGUUUUUUUUAAGCAGCACAGUUUACAUAAACGACUGCCUGCUUUUAGAAUUUAGUUGCUACCAUUGUUGCAGUUGAUACUUGAUAGCCCAUCUCUUUUUUUUUCAUAGUUCAAUAAAAAAGCAGAGUCUCACAUUUUAAAUGCUGCUUCCAGUGCAGUUAGUGGAACAUCAUCUAAAGAAAUAAUUCUUGUAGAUACAAAACACCUGUUGCACAUACCUAUGCUAUAGAAUAGAGUAUAGACUAUAGACAGACUUAUAUAAUACGUAUACACAGAAUUCUAAAACACCUGUACAUUGAUCCUAUACACACGGCCUAUGUUACCUCUUCACAGACUUUCGUUACGUCUUCACCAAAAAUCAAUACCAUACAAUAUUCCAGCAAGCACACAAAUUCCGUCUUAAACAGUUUCAAAAUUGCCGUACAUUAUUGAAGGUUUGUCUUUCCCGCCAAUUGCUCUGAUCCAAAAUGGCGACCACGAUUUUUUCAUACAUUGCGUUUUCCAUGGGCUUUCAUAACAUAGAAUAGUUUUAUAAUAAAUAAUCAUAGAACAACUUCCUUUCCUUAAAAUUGACUAGCACUGUGUAACUGUACAACACUAAAUUACUGCGAUUAAAUUGGAUGAUAAACUAAAAUACGCAUCGAAAUAUCACCAAAUAAAUGAACAACAAGAAAAUUUAAACGCAUGCUUAUUUUUUGCAAAACAUAGACAUAAUAACAUAAUAACAUAAUAGUGGGGAGUAAUAACUUAGUGAUUGAUUUCAAAAGGUAUAUACAGUGGCUGUGGCUGUGCUACUCAUUCAAUUUCGAACAAAGAGAUUUAUGUGCUGUGGCUGGUCUGUUCUUGUCAUGUUUCAAUGGAAUGGCGUUUAUUUCAUUGUCUUUCAUCCAAUAAUACCGACAAAAGAAAAGAUGGGAACGAAAGGGGAAUUUCCUUAGACACAACUACACGCCUCUAGUACACACUCUAUACCUGAAGCAACAUUUAGAGAUUUACUGAUUUAGACAUUAAAUUGGUUAUAGGUCUAUAUUACAAUGUCGAUGAAUGCUCCGAGGGUCAUGCCUAGCAGCUACUUUGUAAGCUGGGAAACGUUAAAGAACCCCCAAAAAUAUACAGCGAAAGGUGUGGCGAUUGCAGUUCUGAUUAUCGUGGUGACGUUGGCAGUUCUGGGUGGAUUGGGUUAUGGGAUCUAUGCCGGAGUUACACAUGGAACAUCUAUAAGAAAAGGCUUGUUCACUGAAGCUACAAAUCUCAUUAACCAAGCGACUUGAGAAAAGGAUGUUCGUUCAGCAUAUUGGAAAUUGUCUUUCACUUAUAUCAACACAACUGCAGAUUUGCAAUGUUAAUAAUUUAAAAGCACUUCUUAUACUUUUUUUAAAAACAAUAUUCAUGCUCCGUAUUUAAACUAAAACAGAGGUGUAAAGAAUAGUAAGUUUUG
Ciona intestinalis (vase tunicate) is the source of this 3467-nucleotide non-coding RNA. Lineage: Eukaryota; Metazoa; Chordata; Ascidiacea; Phlebobranchia; Cionidae. The record is from RefSeq and is a predicted model, not a curated record.